This 848-nucleotide ribosomal RNA is filed under the name Algibacter sp. RNAcentral's name for it is "bacterial SSU rRNA". It matches the Rfam family "Bacterial small subunit ribosomal RNA", at positions 23 to 873 of the family's 1533-position model. Lineage: Bacteria; Pseudomonadati; Bacteroidota; Flavobacteriia; Flavobacteriales; Flavobacteriaceae. The record is from RNAcentral.
CUCAGGAUGAACGCUAGCGGCAGGCCUAACACAUGCAAGUCGAGGGGUAACAUGAGUGCUUGCACUUGAUGACGACCGGCGCACGGGUGCGUAACGCGUAUACAAUCUACCUUUUGCUGAGGAAUAGCCCAGAGAAAUUUGGAUUAAUGCCUCAUAGUAUGCAGACUUCGCAUGGAGACUGUAUUAAAGGUUACGGCAAAAGAUGAGUAUGCGUCCUAUUAGUUAGUUGGUAAGGUAACGGCUUACCAAGACAGCGAUAGGUAGGGGCCCUGAGAGGGGGAUCCCCCACACUGGUACUGAGACACGGACCAGACUCCUACGGGAGGCAGCAGUGAGGAAUAUUGGACAAUGGAGGCAACUCUGAUCCAGCCAUGCCGCGUGCAGGAAGACUGCCCUAUGGGUUGUAAACUGCUUUUAUACGGGAAGAAACACCACUACGUGUAGUGGCUUGACGGUACCGUAAGAAUAAGGAUCGGCUAACUCCGUGCCAGCAGCCGCGGUAAUACGGAGGAUCCAAGCGUUAUCCGGAAUCAUUGGGUUUAAAGGGUCCGUAGGUGGAUAAUUAAGUCAGAGGUGAAAGUUUGCAGCUCAACUGUAAAAUUGCCUUUGAUACUGGUUAUCUUGAAUCAUUAUGAAGUAGUUAGAAUAUGUAGUGUAGCGGUGAAAUGCAUAGAUAUUACAUAGAAUACCAAUUGCGAAGGCAGAUUACUAAUAAUGUAUUGACACUGAUGGACGAAAGCGUAGGUAGCGAACGGGAUUAGAUACCCCGGUAGUCUACGCCGUAAACGAUGGAUACUAGCUGUUGGACUUCGGUUCAGUGGCUAAGCGAAAGUGAUAAGUAUCCCACC